GUAACACAAUAGGCCCACCGGAAGGCGGGCCUGGAAAAU
Molecule: ribosomal RNA, 39 nt
Filed under: Tripneustes gratilla (Hawaiian sea urchin)
Lineage: Eukaryota; Metazoa; Echinodermata; Echinoidea; Temnopleuroida; Toxopneustidae
Description: partial 12S ribosomal RNA
Source: RNAcentral